Molecule: ribosomal RNA, 468 nt
Filed under: uncultured bacterium
Lineage: Bacteria
Description: partial 16S ribosomal RNA
Rfam family: Bacterial small subunit ribosomal RNA
Source: RNAcentral
GACGAACGCUGGCGGCGUGCUUAACACAUGCAAGUCGAACGGAAAGGCCCUGCUUUUGUGGGGUGCUCGAGUGGCGAACGGGUGAGUAACACGUGAGUAACCUGCCCUUGACUUUGGGAUAACUUCAGGAAACUGGGGCUAAUACCGGAUAGGAGCUCCUGCUGCAUGGUGGGGGUUGGAAAGUUUCGGCGGUUGGGGAUGGACUCGCGGCUUAUCAGCUUGUUGGUGGGGUAGUGGCUUACCAAGGCUGUGACGGGUAGCCGGCCUGAGAGGGUGACCGGCCACAUUGGGACUGAGAUAAGGCCCAGACUCCUACGGGAGGCAGCAGUGGGGAAUAUUGCACAAUGGGCGGAAGCCUGAUGCAGCAACGCCGCGUGCGGGAUGACGGCCUUCGGGUUGUAAACCGCUUUCGCCUGUGACGAAGCGUGAGUGACGGUAAUGGGUAAAGAAGCACCGGCUAACUACGUG